UAGGGAAUAUUGGUCAAUGGGUGCGAGCCUGAACCAGCCAUGCCGCGUGCAGGAAGGCAGCCUUAAGGGUUGUAAACUGCUUUUGAUCGGGAAGAAAUAGGUUCUGCGGAGCCAGUUGACUGUACCGAUAGAAUAAGCACCGGCUAACUCCGUGCCAGCAGCCGCGGUAAUACGGAGGGUGCAAGCGUUAUCCGGAUUUAUUGGGUUUAAAGGGUACGCAGGCGGGAUAUCAAGUCAAUGGUAAAACCUACCGGCUCAACCGGUAGCCUGCCGAUGAAACUGAUAUUCUUGAGUGUGGUAGAGGUAGGCGGAAUUUAUGGAGUAGCGGUGAAAUGCAUAGAUACCAUAAAGAAUAUCGAUAGGGAAGCCAGCUUACUGGACCACAACUGACGCUGAGGUACGAAAGCAUGGUUAGUCAACAGGAUUAGAUACCCCCGUAGUCC
This 443-nucleotide ribosomal RNA is filed under the name uncultured prokaryote. RNAcentral describes it as "bacterial SSU rRNA". It matches the Rfam family "Bacterial small subunit ribosomal RNA", at positions 355 to 796 of the family's 1533-position model. The record is from RNAcentral.